Molecule: long non-coding RNA, 363 nt
Filed under: Dromaius novaehollandiae (emu)
Lineage: Eukaryota; Metazoa; Chordata; Aves; Casuariiformes; Dromaiidae
Description: lncRNA (ENSDNVG00000003211.1)
Source: RNAcentral
GCUCUGUUCACUCUGGAGUCCUCGGUGUAGCCCAUGAUGAUGCUGCCUUUCUCCUCUCCCCUGCCUGGUGUCAUGGAGUGAGGGAUCCAGACCCCACAGCCCUGGGGUUCUCAGCUGCUGUGCUAUGGGYGCAGAUGGGGAAAGAGCUGCAGCAUCUGCACUCGGAUGACUGUGGAGCUGAGUACCAGCAGGCUCUGGUGAACGUCCAYGAGAAGCUGCGUGAGCUGGAGGGGCUGGGCGUAAGGAGCAGAUGGAGCAGCAGCUUCAGCAGUGGUUCGCUGAGCGCUGGAAGGUGAUGAAGGUUUGAUCCUGGCUUCAUGCAAGUUCCUGCCAGCAAUCAGCAAAGCAUUCGCAGAGUACCCA